UGCAGUCGAACGCGUUGGYCCAAUUGAUUGAUGGUGCUUGCACCUGAUUGAUUUUGGUCGCCAACGAGUGGCGGACGGGUGAGUAACACGUAGGUAACCUGCCCAGAAGCGGGGGACAACAUUUGGAAACAGAUGCUAAUACCGCAUAACAGCGUUGUUCGCAUGAACAACGCUUAAAAGAUGGCUUCUCGCUAUCACUUCUGGAUGGACCUGCGGUGCAUUARCUUGUUGGUGGGGUAACGGCCUACCAAGGCRAUGAUGCAUAGCCGAGUUGAGAGACUGAUCGGCCACAAUGGGACUGAGACACGGCCCAUACUCCUACGGGAGGCAGCAGUAGGGAAUCUUCCACAAUGGGCGCAAGCCUGAUGGAGCAACACCGCGUGAGUGAAGAAGGGUUUCGGCUCGUAAAGCUCUGUUGUUAAAGAAGAACACGUAUGAGAGUAACUGUUCAUACGUUGACGGUAUUUAACCAGAAAGUCACGGCUAACUACGUGCCAGCAGCCGCGGUAAUACGUAGGUGGCAAGCGUUAUCCGGGAUUUAUUGGGCGUAAAGAGAGUGCAGGCGGUUUUCUAAGUCUGAUGUGAAAGCCCUCCGGCUUAACCGGAGAAGUGCAUCGGAAACUGGAUAACUUGAGUGCAGAAGAGGGUAGUGGAACUCCAUGUGUAGCGGUGGAAUGCGUAGAUAUAUGGAAGAACACCAGUGGCGAAGGCGGCUACCUGGUCUGCAACUGACGCUGAGACUCGAAAGCAUGGGUAGCGAACAGGAUUAGAUACCCUGGUAGUCCAUGCCGUAAACGAUGAGUGCUAGGUGUUGGAGGGUUUCCGCCCUUCAGUGCCGGAGCUAACGCAUUAAGCACUCCGCCUGGGGAGUACGACCGCAAGGUUGAAACUCAAAGGAAUUGACGGGGGCCCGCACAAGCGGUGGAGCAUGUGGUUUAAUUCGAAGCUACGCGAAGAACCUUACCAGGUCUUGACAUCUUGCGCCAACCCUAGAGAUAGGGCGUUUCCUUCGGGAACGCAAUGACAGGUGGUGCAUGGUCGUCGUCAGCUCGUGUCGUGAGAUGUUGGGUUAAGUCCCGCAACGAGCGCAACCCUUGUUACUAGUUGCCAGCAUUAAGUUGGGCACUCUAGUGAGACUGCCGGUGACAAACCGGAGGAAGGUGGGGACGACGUCAGAUCAUCAUGCCCCUUAUGACCUGGGCUACACACGUGCUACAAUGGACGGUACAACGAGUCGCGAACUCGCGAGGGCAAGCAAAUCUCUUAAAACCGUUCUCAGUUCGGACUGCAGGCUGCAACUCGCCUGCACGAAGUCGGAAUCGCUAGUAAUCGCGGAUCAGCAUGCCGCGGUGAAUACGUUCCCGGGCCUUGUACACACCGCCCGUCACACCAUGAGAGUUUGUAACACCCAAAGUCGGUGGGGUAACCUUUUAGGAGCCAGCCGCUA
RNAcentral lists this ribosomal RNA (1447 nucleotides) under Limosilactobacillus fermentum. Its description in RNAcentral is "bacterial SSU rRNA". It matches the Rfam family "Bacterial small subunit ribosomal RNA". The record is from RNAcentral. Lineage: Bacteria; Bacillati; Bacillota; Bacilli; Lactobacillales; Lactobacillaceae.